CAAAAUAGAUGAAAACAACUCAGAGAGUUCCAAAAACCAUUGUUGAUUGUUUGGAUGCGAUGGUCUGAAACAGUUGACGAAAUAAUCAAGCAAUCUCUACGGAAGCCAUCAUUCACAACUAUCAGCUCAAAUUAGACAGAGUGUGCUGGUGGGUGAGCGUGCCAAGUGGGACAGCACGAAGCUCCACCGGCUGGAUGCGGUCAAAUGACUCGGUGGCACUAACUUGUGGUAAAAAUAAAAUUAACCGUAUAGAAAUGCACGCAUCCAUCUUCUAA
This is a long non-coding RNA of Uranotaenia lowii, 275 nucleotides long. RefSeq lists it as uncharacterized. The transcript has 3 exons. Lineage: Eukaryota; Metazoa; Arthropoda; Insecta; Diptera; Culicidae. The record is from RefSeq and is a predicted model, not a curated record.